GACGAACGCUGGCGGCGUGCUUAACACAUGCAAGUCGAACGAGAGCGUAGAGAAAGCUUGCUUUUUCUACAAUCUAGUGGCAAACGGGUGAGUAACGCGUAAACAACCUGCCCUACGGAUGGGGACAACAGCUGGAAACGGCUGCUAAUACCGAAUACGUUCCGAAAGUCGCAUGACUAUCGGAAGAAAGGAUGGCCUCUAUUUAUAAGCUAUCGCCGGAGGAGGGGUUUGCGUCUGAUUAGCUAGUUGGAGGGGUAACGGCCCACCAAGGCGAAGAUCAGACGCGGGGCUGAGAGGGUGAGCGGCGAGAGUGGAGGUGAGACCCGGACCAGACAACUGCGGGAGGCAGCAGUGGGGAGUCUGCCGCAAUGGGCGAAAGCAUGACGGAGCAACGCAGAGGGAAUGAAGACGGCUUUCGGAUGGAAAAGAUAGGUUAUACGGGACGAAUAAUCUUGUGGUUAAUACCCAUGAGAAGUGACGGUACCGUAAGAGAAAGCAACGGCUAGCUACGUG
RNAcentral lists this ribosomal RNA (513 nucleotides) under uncultured bacterium. Its description in RNAcentral is "partial 16S ribosomal RNA". It matches the Rfam family "Bacterial small subunit ribosomal RNA", at positions 28 to 507 of the family's 1533-position model. The record is from RNAcentral.